GUACAUUUAUAAUGAAUUAAUUUGUUUUUAAAUAUGUCAUUUAUUUUUCUGUAUUGCAUCUCAAAGAUCACCAAAUACGCUUUGUUGCUACAACCAAUACCUGAACAAUGUUACCAACACCUGUACAGAAUGUUCACGCGGACGCAUAGGCUGGAAUUGCAAAUUAGUUUGUCCAUCCGGAUUUUACGGACAGAUUUGUCGUUUCCCUUGUGAAUGCGACGCUGUGGAGUGUCAUCGCGUGACAGUAUGUGAAAGGACACGUGUUGUAGAAUCCGGUUCUGUGCCGAACAAACGAAGUACACUCUUUUAUAAAAAGCGAAAGAUUUUCUUUGAUUGGAAAGUCUUUUGGCUUCCUUUUAUUGGUGCAAUUUUCUGCUUUGUUUCCGUCGGUUUGCUGCUUCUCAUCACCUUGCGGAAGAUGAAUUUAAACUUUUGUUUUCCUUACAUAUCGCUUCUACGAGGGGUAUUCGUGCCAUGCUUUAACGCAAAUAAUCAGAGACAGACGACUCAAGAAGAUAUUGAACUAGCUACCAUCAGCUCAACAUCACAAUGUCCAAAUGAAGAAUCAAUAUCGGAAGAAAACAGAACUGAAAUAAAAUGUUCUCGACCUCAUACCUUACGUGACGUUUGUUUCGGAACAAAUGCUAUGCUUACAUGUUAUUCAGAUGAAGCCCAUAUAGUUUCAAACAGAAACCAUGUUUCUCAAUUAUAUAAUAAUGAAAACGAAUACGAUCAUGUCAACCUCCGAAUACCAAAUUGUGUGUUAGAUAGUUCUUUGUUAUACAGCAAACCAUUUAAAAGAGAUGCACGAUCCCAAAUUAAUGUACGUUCUUGGAAUCUGACUCUUCAUAGAAACUCAAAAAACGAGUGCAACAAAAUUGAACCAUUGAUCAGUAAUCUAAAUUUUUCGCUCCCUGACAUCAGACUUCUUGAACGCUUCAAAACAGGACAUUUUAAAGAAAAGGAAAAAUAUCAUUGUGUAUAAAGUUUU
Magallana angulata is the source of this 991-nucleotide long non-coding RNA. RefSeq lists it as uncharacterized. Lineage: Eukaryota; Metazoa; Mollusca; Bivalvia; Ostreida; Ostreidae. The transcript is spliced from 5 exons. The record is from RefSeq and is a predicted model, not a curated record.